This 506-nucleotide ribosomal RNA is filed under the name uncultured bacterium. RNAcentral describes it as "partial 16S ribosomal RNA". It matches the Rfam family "Bacterial small subunit ribosomal RNA", at positions 30 to 523 of the family's 1533-position model. The record is from RNAcentral.
AUUGAACGCUGGCGGCAGGCUUAACACAUGCAAGUCGAGCGGUAACAGAGGGAAGCUUGCUUCUCUGCUGACGAGCGGCGGACGGGAGAGUAAUGCCCAGGAAUCUGCCUAGUAGUGAGGGACAACUUGCCGAAAGGUAAGCUAAUACCGCAUACUUCCUACGGGAGAAAGAAUGGGACCUUCGGGCCUUCAGCUAUUCGAUGGUCCUAGGUCGGAUUAGGUAGUUGGUGAGGUAAUGGCUCACCAAGACCGCGAUCCGUAACUGGUCUGAGAGGAUGAUCAGGCACACUGGAACUGAGACACGGUCCAGACUCCUACGGGAGGCAGCAGUGGGGAAUAUUGGACAAUGGGGGGAACCCUGUUCCAGCCAUGCCGCGUGUGUGAAGAAGGUCUUAGGAUUGUAAAGCACUUUAAGUUGGGAGGAAGAGCAGUUAACUAAUAUUUGACUGUUUUGACGUUACCGACAGAAUAAGCACCGGCUAACUUCGUGCCAGCCGCCGCCGUAA